CACUCCUACGGGAGGCAGCAGUGGGGAAUAUUGGACAAUGGGCGCAAGCCUGAUCCAGCCAUGCCGCGUGAGUGAUGAAGGCCCUAGGGUUGUAAAGCUCUUUCACCGGUGAAGAUAAUGACGGUAACCGGAGAAGAAGCCCCGGCUAACUUCGUGCCAGCAGCCGCGGUAAUACGAAGGGGGCUAGCGUUGUUCGGAUUUACUGGGCGUAAAGCGCACGUAGGCGGACUAUUAAGUCAGGGGUGAAAUCCCGGGGCUCAACCCCAGAACUGCCUUUGAUACUGGUAGUCUUGAGUUCGAGAGAGGUGAGUGGAAUUCCGAGUGUAGAGGUGAAAUUCGUAGAUAUUCGGAGGAACACCAGUGGCGAAGGCGGCUCACUGGCUCGAUACUGACGCUGAGGUGCGAAAGCGUGGGGAGCAAACAGGAUUAGAAACCCGAGUAGUCC
Molecule: ribosomal RNA, 445 nt
Filed under: uncultured organism
Description: partial 16S ribosomal RNA
Rfam family: Bacterial small subunit ribosomal RNA
Source: RNAcentral